This 68-nucleotide ribosomal RNA is filed under the name Acinetobacter baumannii. Its description in RNAcentral is "partial 16S ribosomal RNA". It matches the Rfam family "Bacterial small subunit ribosomal RNA", at positions 1 to 66 of the family's 1533-position model. Lineage: Bacteria; Pseudomonadati; Pseudomonadota; Gammaproteobacteria; Moraxellales; Moraxellaceae. The record is from RNAcentral. RNAcentral also lists the same sequence under 1 other name.
UUUAACUGAAGAGUUUGAUCAUGGCUCAGAUUGAACGCUGGCGGCAGGCUUAACACAUGCAAGUCGAG